RNAcentral lists this ribosomal RNA (253 nucleotides) under uncultured bacterium. RNAcentral describes it as "partial 16S ribosomal RNA". It matches the Rfam family "Bacterial small subunit ribosomal RNA", at positions 524 to 776 of the family's 1533-position model. The record is from RNAcentral.
UACGUAGGUGGCAAGCGUUGUCCGGAUUUUUUGGGUUUAAAGGGUGCGUAGGCGGUUAUAUAAGUCAGUGCUGAAAUAUCCCGGCUUAACCGGGAGGGUGGCAUUGAUACUGUAUGACUUGAGUAAAGUUGAGGUUGGCGGAAUUGACGGUGUAGCGGUGAAAUGCUUAGAUAUCGUCAAGAACACCGAUAGUGAAGACAGCUAACUAAGCUUUAACUGACGCUGAGGCACGAAAGUGUGGGGAUCAAACAGG